Molecule: ribosomal RNA, 254 nt
Filed under: uncultured bacterium
Lineage: Bacteria
Description: partial 16S ribosomal RNA
Rfam family: Bacterial small subunit ribosomal RNA
Source: RNAcentral
GACAGAGGGGGCAAGCGUUGCUCGGAAUCACUGGGCGUAAAGGGCGCGUAGGCGGUCUGUCGCGUCGGUCGUGAAAACUUGGGGCUUAACCCUGAGCUUGCGGUCGAUACGGGCAUGACUGGAGUUCGGUAGGGGAGACUGGAAUUCCUGGUGUAGCGGUGAAAUGCGCAGAUAUCAGGAGGAACACCGGUGGCGAAGGCGGGUCUCUGGGCCGAUACUGACGCUGAGGAGCGAAAGCGUGGGGAGCGAACAGG